AAACUUGCGGCAGCAGCCACGGCUGUCAUGCAAGUGAUGGGGUGAGCAAGAUGUGAGAGGCUUGUUUCUCUUGGCAUGCCUCUAUCCUUUCACUCCUCUACAAAUCCAUUUGAGAGAGUCGUGACUUUCUUCAAAGACAGAAAGAGCAUGAAAGGGAACACAAACGAGCAUCACAGAAGCCGUGUCUCUGCGUCUCCCCAAAUGUAUUCCUCUUCAGCUACAUGCUGGACAACAAAACAGCAGUAUUCUCUACUGGAAUUGUUGGAAAAAAACAUCUGAUUGAUUUCCAUUUGAAUAAAAUAUCUGCCUUGCUAACA
Molecule: long non-coding RNA, 317 nt
Filed under: Coturnix japonica (Japanese quail)
Lineage: Eukaryota; Metazoa; Chordata; Aves; Galliformes; Phasianidae
Description: lncRNA (ENSCJPG00005010093.1)
Source: RNAcentral